GACGAACCGUGCGAACGUUAUUCGGAAUCACUGGGCUUAAAGGGUGCGUAGGCGGGCUCGUUAGUCAGGGGUGAAAUCCCACGGCCCAACCGUGGAAGUGCCUCUGAUACUGCGGGCCUCGAGGGGGAUAGGGGCGUGCGGAACUCAGGGUGGAGCGGUGAAAUGCGUAGAUAUCCUGAGGAACACCGGUGGCGAAAGCGGCGCGCUGGAUCCCUUCUGACGCUGAGGCACGAAAGCGUGGGGAGCAAACAGG
This 253-nucleotide ribosomal RNA is filed under the name uncultured bacterium. RNAcentral's name for it is "partial 16S ribosomal RNA". It matches the Rfam family "Bacterial small subunit ribosomal RNA", at positions 524 to 776 of the family's 1533-position model. The record is from RNAcentral.